RNAcentral lists this ribosomal RNA (406 nucleotides) under uncultured bacterium. Its description in RNAcentral is "bacterial SSU rRNA". It matches the Rfam family "Bacterial small subunit ribosomal RNA", at positions 354 to 777 of the family's 1533-position model. The record is from RNAcentral.
GUGGGGAAUUUUGCGCAAUGGGGGCAACCCUGACGCAGCAACGCCGCGUGCGGGACGACGGCCUUCGGGUUGUAAACCGCUUUCAGCAGGGAAGAAAUUCGACGGUACCUGCAGAAGAAGCUCCGGCUAACUACGUGCCAGCAGCCGCGGUAAUACGUAGGGAGCGAGCGUUAUCCGGAUUCAUUGGGCGUAAAGAGCGCGUAGGCGGCCUCUCAAGCGGGAUCUCUAAUCCGAGGGCUCAACCCCCGGCCGGAUCCCGAACUGGGAGGCUCGAGUUCGGUAGAGGCAGGCGGAAUUCCCGGUGUAGCGGUGGAAUGCGCAGAUAUCGGGAAGAACACCGAUGGCGAAGGCAGCCUGCUGGGCCGCAACUGACGCUGAGGCGCGAAAGCUAGGGGAGCGAACAGGA